UUUGGACAAUGGGGGAAACCCUGAUCCAGCCAUCCCGCGUGAACGAUGAAGGCCAUCGGGUCGUAAAGUUCUGUCCUGGGGGACGAUAAUGACGGUACCCCAGGAGGAAGCACCGGCUAACUACGUGCCAGCAGCCGCGGUAAUACGUAGGGGGCGAGCGUUGUCCGGAAUUAUUGGGCGUAAAGGGUUCGUAGGCGGUUUUUUAAGUCAGAUGUGAAAGGUCACGGCUCAACCGUGGUAAGCAUUUGAAACUGAAAGACUUGAGUUAAGGAGAGGAAAGUGGAAUUCCUAGUGUAGCGGUGAAAUGCGUAGAUAUUAGGAGGAAUACCAGUGGCGAAGGCGACUUUCUGGACUGCAACUGACGCUGAGGCACGAAAGCGUGGGGAGCGAACAG
RNAcentral lists this ribosomal RNA (394 nucleotides) under uncultured bacterium. RNAcentral describes it as "partial 16S ribosomal RNA". It matches the Rfam family "Bacterial small subunit ribosomal RNA", at positions 363 to 775 of the family's 1533-position model. The record is from RNAcentral.